Molecule: ribosomal RNA, 695 nt
Filed under: uncultured Brucellaceae bacterium
Lineage: Bacteria; Pseudomonadati; Pseudomonadota; Alphaproteobacteria; Hyphomicrobiales; Brucellaceae
Description: bacterial SSU rRNA
Rfam family: Bacterial small subunit ribosomal RNA
Source: RNAcentral
AGCGGCAGACGGGUGAGUAACACGUGGGAACGUGCCUUCUGGUUCGGAAUAACUCAGGGAAACUUGAGCUAAUACCGGAUAAGCCCUUCGGGGGAAAGAUUUAUCGCCGGAAGAUCGGCCCGCGUCAGAUUAGCUAGUUGGUGAGGUAAUGGCUCACCAAGGCUACGAUCUGUAGCUGGUCUGAGAGGAUGAUCAGCCACACUGGGACUGAGACACGGCCCAGACUCCUACGGGAGGCAGCAGUGGGGAAUAUUGGACAAUGGGCGCAAGCCUGAUCCAGCCAUGCCGCGUGAGUGAUGAAGGCCUUAGGGUUGUAAAGCUCUUUCGUGGGGGAAGAUAAUGACUGUACCCCAAGAAGAAGCCCCGGCUAACUCCGUGCCAGCAGCCGCGGUAAUACGGAGGGGACUAGCGUUGUUCGGAAUUACUGGGCGUAAAGCGCACGUAGGCGGGCUGUUAAGUCGGGGGUGAAAUCCCGGGGCUCAACCCCGGAACUGCCUCCGAUACUGGCGGUCUUGAGUCCGAGAGAGGUGGGUGGAAUUCCGAGUGUAGAGGUGAAAUUCGUAGAUAUUCGGAGGAACACCGGUGGCGAAGGCGGCCCACUGGCUCGGUACUGACGCUGAGGUGCGAAAGCGCGGGGAGCAAACAGGAUUAGAUACCCUGGUAGUCCGCGCCGUAAACGAUGAAUGCCAGUCGUU